CUGUCACUAGGAUGACUGCGCGCAUAGCUAGUGGUAAGGUAACGGCUUACCAAGGCGACGAUGCGUAGCCGACUCGAGAGGGUGAUCGACCACACUGUGACUGAGACACGGCCCAGACUCCUACGAGAGGCAGCAGUAGGGAAUCUUCCGCAAUGGACGAAAGUCUGACGGAGCAACGCCGCGUGAGUGAGGAAGGCCUUCGGGUCGUAAAGCUCUGUUGUGAGGGAAGAACAAGUACCGGGGUAACUACCGGUACCUUGACGGUACCUCACCAGAAAGCCACGGCUAACUACGUGCCAGCAGCCGCGGUAAUACGUAGGUGGCAAGCGUUGUCCGGAAUUAUUGGGCGUAAAGCGCGCGCAGGCGGCUUCUUAAGUCUGAUGUGAAAUCUCGGGGCUCAACCCCGAGCGGCCAUUGGAAACUGGGAAGCUUGAGUGCAGAAGAGGAGAGUGGAAUUCCACGUGUAGCGGUGAAAUGCGUAGAUAUGUGGAGGAACACCAGUGGCGAAGGCGACUCUCUGGUCUGUAACUGACGCUGAGGCGCGAAAGCGUGGGGAGCAAACAGGAUUAGAUACCCUGGUAGUCCACGCCGUAAACGAUGAGUGCUAGGUGUUAGGGGUUUCGAUGCCCGUAGUGCCGAAGUAAACACAUAAGC
This 654-nucleotide ribosomal RNA is filed under the name Shouchella oshimensis. RNAcentral's name for it is "bacterial SSU rRNA". It matches the Rfam family "Bacterial small subunit ribosomal RNA", at positions 214 to 865 of the family's 1533-position model. Lineage: Bacteria; Bacillati; Bacillota; Bacilli; Caryophanales; Bacillaceae. The record is from RNAcentral.